Molecule: long non-coding RNA, 351 nt
Filed under: Notechis scutatus (mainland tiger snake)
Lineage: Eukaryota; Metazoa; Chordata; Lepidosauria; Squamata; Elapidae
Description: lncRNA (ENSNSUG00000012125.1)
Source: RNAcentral
GGCGGGGCUCAAGUCCUUGCAGAACCUAGAGAAACAGAAGAAGACCAGGAAGAUCUGGGACCACAGUGAGACCAGCAGCGUCCAGUCUUCCCAGUCCACAGAGGGCGAUGACAUCUCCAUCCGAAGCCAAGCCUCCUCGUGUGCCACAGAAGAUGCCUCCGAAGACGCCAUGUCUGUCCGCUCCGAGAUGAUCCAGAGAAAAGGCUCCACUUUCCGACCACACGACUCCUUUCUGAAACCACCCGGGAAGGGAGAAAAGAGGCGGAGGGAGAGGAGGACCACUGUCCUGGGGCUGCCCCAACACGUGCAGCAGGAGCUGGGUAAGCGGCUGGCCUUGCACAAACCGGGUGG